ACACGUGGGCACAUCAAGAGAUAAUAUCAGACACCCGUAAAAUCAGAUAAGGCCUUAGAAACAAAACAAAAGCCCGCACAUAUUUACAGAAACAGAGUCGGCGGUACAGAAAAGAAAGGAGAAAUAAGGAACUAGGGUUUGAGUGUUCGAGUGAAUUGAUCCAGACAGAUUCAAGAGUUGAUAGUGACUCCAGGUUCUAAAGCAAGUACCAGUUAGCGUACAGCAAAAGCCAGACCUAAGUAUGCCGAGGAUGCGUCUUACCGCUCGCAAGAGGGUCCCACUUAGCCAUCCACAGAUAUUUCGGUUCAACCUCCCUGCUCAGGUAGAAAGAAUCCAGAGUAUACAUAGAACUUUUGGUAGUAUGUAAUAAAAUUUGAACUAGCCAUAAAACUUAUUUAGACUUUUGGAGGGUUUGUGUGGUUUACUGUAAAAGCUACUCUAGGUAGGUGUGUAGUGUGUAAUCACAUUAUGGUUUUAUUAGUGCUUGUUUCAUAUCAUAAAUUGUGUACGAUCCAGUUGCAUGUAGGGGUCAUAUUAUUGUUUUAUAAUAUUAGCAUUUCAUUCCGCUGUGCA
Molecule: long non-coding RNA, 573 nt
Organism: Daucus carota subsp. sativus
Lineage: Eukaryota; Viridiplantae; Streptophyta; Magnoliopsida; Apiales; Apiaceae
Exons: 3
Source: RefSeq, a predicted model, not a curated record